UUUUUUGGUGGCUGUGCGUGGGAGACCUUCGGGUCUGCCGGUUUGUGCCUUGUCCGGUUCGCCAACCCGCGUACAGCUGCCACCCAU
Molecule: non-coding RNA, 87 nt
Filed under: Pseudomonas sp. SJZ080
Lineage: Bacteria; Pseudomonadati; Pseudomonadota; Gammaproteobacteria; Pseudomonadales; Pseudomonadaceae
Source: RNAcentral